CCUCCCUUUCCUUCUUUAUCAACCUUCAGAUCUUUUGUUUCAGUCGAUUCUGGCUUCACACUUGCAGACUCCUCCUCAUGUAGCUUCUUCUUAGGUGUGUUAUCAGUAACACCUGCUGCUUUCCUUUUCUUGUUAGCUUUACCUUUAGGUGAAGCUUUUUCAAUGGCUUCAUUAGCUUUACUUUUAGGUGAAGCUUUUUCAAUGGAUUCCUUGUUAUCAUUUUCCUUAACAGCUGAAUCAUCAGAUACAAUUCUCCCUACAUCACCUUCCUCCAUCAUCUCAUCUUUCACAUCAGCCUUUGACUCUUCAACUUUCUCAUCAACCUCAAGACUCAUC
Molecule: long non-coding RNA, 336 nt
Filed under: Lactuca sativa (garden lettuce)
Lineage: Eukaryota; Viridiplantae; Streptophyta; Magnoliopsida; Asterales; Asteraceae
Description: long non-coding RNA (LSAT_LNC002230)
Source: RNAcentral